RNAcentral lists this ribosomal RNA (383 nucleotides) under uncultured archaeon. RNAcentral describes it as "bacterial SSU rRNA". It matches the Rfam family "Archaeal small subunit ribosomal RNA", at positions 345 to 728 of the family's 1478-position model. The record is from RNAcentral.
AAACUUUACAAUGCAGGCAACUGCGAUAAGGGGACAUCGAGUGGCACGCAAUUUGUGUGUCUGUCCACCCGUCUAAAAAACGGGUGUUAGCAAGGGCCGGGCAAGACCGGUGCCAGCCGCCGCGGUAAUACCGGCGGCUCGAGUGGUGGCCGAUAUUAUUGAGUCUAAAGGGUCCGUAGCCGGCUUAGUAAGUCUUUUGGGAAAUCCAGCGGCUUAAUCGUUGGGCGUCCAUGAGAUACUGCUUUGCUUGGGACUGGGAGAGGUAGGAGGUACUCAAGGGGUAGGAGUGAAAUCCUGUAAUCCUUUGGGGACCACCGGUGGCGAAGGCGUCCUACCAGAACAGGUCCGACGGUGAGGGACGAAAGCUAGGGGCACGAACCGGA